This 235-nucleotide ribosomal RNA is filed under the name uncultured bacterium. RNAcentral describes it as "partial 16S ribosomal RNA". It matches the Rfam family "Bacterial small subunit ribosomal RNA", at positions 121 to 353 of the family's 1533-position model. The record is from RNAcentral.
GUAACCUGCCUUCAAGAGGGGGAUAACAUUCUGAAAAGAAUGCUAAUACCGCAUGACAUAUCGGAACCACAUGGUUUUGAUAUCAAAGAUUUUAUCGCUUGAAGAUGGACUCGCGUCCGAUUAGUUAGUUGGUGAGGUAACGGCUCACCAAGACCGCGAUCGGUAGCCGGACUGAGAGGUUGAACGGCCACAUUGGGACUGAGACACGGCCCAGACUCCUACGGGAGGCAGCAUG